This 2923-nucleotide ribosomal RNA is filed under the name Bacillus sp. JKS001846. Its description in RNAcentral is "bacterial LSU rRNA". It matches the Rfam family "Bacterial large subunit ribosomal RNA". Lineage: Bacteria; Bacillati; Bacillota; Bacilli; Caryophanales; Bacillaceae. The record is from RNAcentral.
UGGUUAAGUUAGAAAGGGCGCACGGUGGAUGCCUUGACACUAGGAGUCGAUGAAGGACGGGACUAACGCCGAUAUGCUUCGGGGAGCUGUAAGUAAGCUUUGAUCCGAAGAUUUCCGAAUGGGGAAACCCACCAUACGUAAUGGUAUGGUAUCCUUAUCUGAAUACAUAGGGUAAGGAAGACAGACCCAGGGAACUGAAACAUCUAAGUACCUGGAGGAAGAGAAAGCAAAUGCGAUUUCCUGAGUAGCGGCGAGCGAAACGGAACAUAGCCCAAACCAAGAGGCUUGCCUCUUGGGGUUGUAGGACAUUCUAUACGGAGUUACAAAGGAACGAGGUAGACGAAGCGACCUGGAAAGGUCCGUCGUAGAGGGUAACAACCCCGUAGUCGAAACUUCGUUCUCUCUUGAAUGUAUCCUGAGUACGGCGGAACACGUGAAAUUCCGUCGGAAUCUGGGAGGACCAUCUCCCAAGGCUAAAUACUCCCUAGUGAUCGAUAGUGAACCAGUACCGUGAGGGAAAGGUGAAAAGCACCCCGGAAGGGGAGUGAAAGAGAUCCUGAAACCGUGUGCCUACAAAUAGUCAGAGCCCGUUAACGGGUGAUGGCGUGCCUUUUGUAGAAUGAACCGGCGAGUUACGAUCCCGUGCGAGGUUAAGCUGAAGAGGCGGAGCCGCAGCGAAAGCGAGUCUGAAUAGGGCGUUUAGUACGUGGUCGUAGACCCGAAACCAGGUGAUCUACCCAUGUCCAGGGUGAAGUUCAGGUAACACUGAAUGGAGGCCCGAACCCACGCACGUUGAAAAGUGCGGGGAUGAGGUGUGGGUAGCGGAGAAAUUCCAAUCGAACCUGGAGAUAGCUGGUUCUCCCCGAAAUAGCUUUAGGGCUAGCCUUAAGUGUAAGAGUCUUGGAGGUAGAGCACUGAUUGGACUAGGGGUCCUCAUCGGAUUACCGAAUUCAGUCAAACUCCGAAUGCCAAUGACUUAUCCUUAGGAGUCAGACUGCGAGUGAUAAGAUCCGUAGUCAAAAGGGAAACAGCCCAGACCGCCAGCUAAGGUCCCAAAGUGUGUAUUAAGUGGAAAAGGAUGUGGAGUUGCUUAGACAACUAGGAUGUUGGCUUAGAAGCAGCCACCAUUUAAAGAGUGCGUAAUAGCUCACUAGUCGAGUGACUCUGCGCCGAAAAUGUACCGGGGCUAAAUACACCACCGAAGCUGCGGAUUGAUACCAAUGGUAUCAGUGGUAGGGGAGCGUUCUAAGGACAGUGAAGUCAGACCGUAAGGACUGGUGGAGUGCUUAGAAGUGAGAAUGCCGGUAUGAGUAGCGAAAGACGGGUGAGAAUCCCGUCCACCGAAUGCCUAAGGUUUCCUGAGGAAGGCUCGUCCGCUCAGGGUUAGUCAGGACCUAAGCCGAGGCCGACAGGCGUAGGCGAUGGACAACAGGUUGAUAUUCCUGUACCACCUCUUUAUCGUUUGAGCAAUGGAGGGACGCAGAAGGAUAGAAGAAGCGUGCGAUUGGUUGUGCACGUCCAAGCAGUUAGGCUGAUAAGUAGGCAAAUCCGCUUAUCAUAAAGGCUGAGCUGUGAUGGGGAAGCUCCUUAUGGAGCGAAGUCUUUGAUUCCCCGCUGCCAAGAAAAGCUUCUAGCGAGAUAAAAGGUGCCUGUACCGCAAACCGACACAGGUAGGCGAGGAGAGAAUCCUAAGGUGUGCGAGAGAACUCUGGUUAAGGAACUCGGCAAAAUGACCCCGUAACUUCGGGAGAAGGGGUGCUUUCUUAACGGAAAGCCGCAGUGAAUAGGCCCAAGCGACUGUUUAGCAAAAACACAGCUCUCUGCGAAGCCGUAAGGCGAAGUAUAGGGGGUGACACCUGCCCGGUGCUGGAAGGUUAAGGAGAGGGGUUAGCGUAAGCGAAGCUCUGAACUGAAGCCCCAGUAAACGGCGGCCGUAACUAUAACGGUCCUAAGGUAGCGAAAUUCCUUGUCGGGUAAGUUCCGACCCGCACGAAAGGUGUAACGAUUUGGGCACUGUCUCAACCAGAGACUCGGUGAAAUUAUAGUACCUGUGAAGAUGCAGGUUACCCGCGACAGGACGGAAAGACCCCGUGGAGCUUUACUGUAGCCUGAUAUUGAAUUUUGGUACAGUUUGUACAGGAUAGGCGGGAGCCAUUGAAACCGGAGCGCUAGCUUCGGUGGAGGCGCUGGUGGGAUACCGCCCUGACUGUAUUGAAAUUCUAACCUACGGGUCUUAUCGACCCGGGAGACAGUGUCAGGUGGGCAGUUUGACUGGGGCGGUCGCCUCCUAAAGUGUAACGGAGGCGCCCAAAGGUUCCCUCAGAAUGGUUGGAAAUCAUUCGUAGAGUGCAAAGGCAUAAGGGAGCUUGACUGCGAGACCUACAAGUCGAGCAGGGACGAAAGUCGGGCUUAGUGAUCCGGUGGUUCCGCAUGGAAGGGCCAUCGCUCAACGGAUAAAAGCUACCCCGGGGAUAACAGGCUUAUCUCCCCCAAGAGUCCACAUCGACGGGGAGGUUUGGCACCUCGAUGUCGGCUCAUCGCAUCCUGGGGCUGUAGUCGGUCCCAAGGGUUGGGCUGUUCGCCCAUUAAAGCGGUACGCGAGCUGGGUUCAGAACGUCGUGAGACAGUUCGGUCCCUAUCCGUCGUGGGCGUAGGAAAUUUGAGAGGAGCUGUCCUUAGUACGAGAGGACCGGGAUGGACGCACCGCUGGUGUACCAGUUGUUCUGCCAAGGGCAUAGCUGGGUAGCUAUGUGCGGAAGGGAUAAGUGCUGAAAGCAUCUAAGCAUGAAGCCCCCCUCAAGAUGAGAUUUCCCAUAGCGUAAGCUAGUAAGAUCCCUGAAAGAUGAUCAGGUUGAUAGGUUCGAGGUGGAAGCAUGGUGACAUGUGGAGCUGACGAAUACUAAUAGAUCGAGGACUUAACCAU